AGCAGCCGCGGUAAUUCCAGCUCCAAUAGCGUAUAUUAAAGUUGUUGCAGUUAAAAAGCUCGUAGUUGAAUUUCGGGAUCAAUUUGCUGGUCGGAACCUCUGGUACGUACUGGUAUUAUUGAUUUCUUUCAUUCUGAUAGAUCAUGGAUGUCAUUAAUUUGAUGACUUUGAGGAAUCGGAACUUUUACUUUGAAAAAAUUAGAGUGUUUAAAGCAGGCUUAUCAGGCUUGAAUACAUUAGCAUGGAAUAAUGAAAUAGGACGAUUGAUCCUAUUUUUGUUGGUUUCUAGGAUUGACGUAAUGAUUAAUAGGGAUAGUUGGGGGCAUUAGUAUUCAAUUGUCAGAGGUGAAAUUCUUUGGAUUCAUUGGAAAGACUAACUACUGCGAAAGCAUUUGCCAAGGAUGUUUUCAUUAAUCAAGAACGAAAG
Molecule: ribosomal RNA, 427 nt
Filed under: uncultured Glomus
Lineage: Eukaryota; Fungi; Glomeromycota; Glomeromycetes; Glomerales; Glomeraceae
Description: bacterial SSU rRNA
Rfam family: Eukaryotic small subunit ribosomal RNA
Source: RNAcentral